AUACGGAGGGUGCAAGCGUUAAUCGGAAUUACUGGGCGUAAAGCGUGCGUAGGCGGUUUAUUAAGUCAGAUGUGAAAGCCCCGGGCUUAACCUGGGAACUGCAUUUGAUACUGGUAAGCUAGAGUAUGGUAGAGGGGGGUAGAAUUCCUAGUGUAGCGGUGAAAUGCGUAGAUAUUAGGAGGAAUACCAGUGGCGAAGGCGGCCCCCUGGACCAAUACUGACGCUGAGGUACGAAAGCGUGGGUAGCGAACAGGAUUAGAUACCCUGGUAGUCCACGCUGUAAACGAUGUCAACUAGCCGUCGGGACCUUGAGGUUUCGGUGGUGCAGCUAACGCGUGAAGUUGACCGCCUGGGGACUACGGCCGCAAGGCUAAA
This 375-nucleotide ribosomal RNA is filed under the name uncultured bacterium. RNAcentral's name for it is "bacterial SSU rRNA". It matches the Rfam family "Bacterial small subunit ribosomal RNA", at positions 523 to 898 of the family's 1533-position model. The record is from RNAcentral.